GGGGACGUUACGGAUUCGACAGGGAUGUCUGGGCUUGGGUUGCGUGUCGGAGGUCUCGGCUUCGUCAACAACGGAAGUUAUAUAAUAACUGGCAAAACAAACAAUCAAUUAGCUGCAGCUUAGUUCUGCAACUGCUUCACCAUUCCAUCGCCCAUGUGGAGUGACUGAGGCCCAACUUUAGUGGGAUACACUUGCAGGUGCCACCUGAGUCUGUAAGGAGAGAUUAGUAGGUUAGCGCUCAAGACGCCUGUCUGUCGGCAUAAUGCAGCGCGAAACGCAAAUAGAUUGACUACACACGUAGUGGCUCAAGUACUGGAGUUUCUGGACGUGGGUUCGACUCCCAUCGUCUCCA
RNAcentral lists this transfer-messenger RNA (352 nucleotides) under Kurthia massiliensis. It matches the Rfam family "transfer-messenger RNA". Rfam says of the family: Bacterial tmRNA, also known as 10Sa RNA or SsrA, is named for its dual tRNA and mRNA-like properties. Its role is to liberate the mRNA from a stalled ribosome. Lineage: Bacteria; Bacillati; Bacillota; Bacilli; Caryophanales; Caryophanaceae. The record is from RNAcentral.